Molecule: small nucleolar RNA, 127 nt
Organism: Corchorus capsularis
Lineage: Eukaryota; Viridiplantae; Streptophyta; Magnoliopsida; Malvales; Malvaceae
Source: Rfam
ACCAAUUCUGGGGGAUAAAUGGUUCCUCUUGGCAUAAUGGCUCGGACGCAAUAUUAAAAAGUGUGGUUAUCCUGAUUGUUGGCUCUUUCUUUCAUGUCAUUUAAUCCUGGAAACGCCACAAACAUUU